This 490-nucleotide ribosomal RNA is filed under the name uncultured bacterium. RNAcentral's name for it is "partial 16S ribosomal RNA". It matches the Rfam family "Bacterial small subunit ribosomal RNA", at positions 30 to 507 of the family's 1533-position model. The record is from RNAcentral.
AUUGAACGCUGGCGGCAGGCCUAACACAUGCAAGUCGAACGGUAACAGGAAGCAGCUUGCUGCUUUGCUGACGAGUGGCGGACGGGUGAGUAAUGUCUGGGAAACUGCCUGAUGGAGGGGGAUAACUACUGGAAACGGUAGCUAAUACCGCAUAACGUCGCAAGACCAAAGAGGGGGACCUUAGGGCCUCUUGCCAUCGGAUGUGCCCAGAUGGGAUUAGCUAGUAGGUGGGGUAACGGCUCACCUAGGCGACGAUCCCUAGCUGGUCUGAGAGGAUGACUAGCCACACGGGAACUGAGACACGGUCCAGACUCCUACGGGAGGCAGCAGUGGGGAAUAUUGCACAAUGGGCGCAAGCCUGAUGCAGCCAUGCCGCGUGUAUGAAGAAGGCCUUCGGGUUGUAAAGUACUUUCAGCGGGGAGGAAGGGAGUAAAGUUAAUACCUUUGCUCAUUGACGUUACCCGCAGAAGAAGCACCGGCUAACUCCGUG